This 536-nucleotide ribosomal RNA is filed under the name Pelagomonas calceolata. Its description in RNAcentral is "SSU rRNA". It matches the Rfam family "Eukaryotic small subunit ribosomal RNA", at positions 639 to 1176 of the family's 1831-position model. The record is from RNAcentral. Lineage: Eukaryota; Pelagophyceae; Pelagomonadales; Pelagomonadaceae.
UCCUGACCUGGGGUAGCCGGUCCGCCUUGCAAAAGGUGCGCACUGAGCGGCCUCGGUCAUCCUUGAGAAGAGCGGUCCUGGCAUUCAGUUGUCGGGGUCGGGAUUCUCGACGUUUACUGUGAAAAAAUCAGAGUGUUCAACGCAGGCUUACGCCUUGAAUACAUUAGCAUGGAAUAAUGAGAUAGGACCUUGGCGGUCUAUUUUGUUGGUUUGCACGCCGAGGUAAUGAUUAAAAGGGACGGUUGGGGUUCUUCGUAUUCAAUUGUCAGAGGUGAAAUUCUUGGAUUUAUGGAAGACGAACUGCUGCGAAAGCGUCGAACAAGGACGUUCUCAUUAAUCAAGAACGAAAGUUAGGGGAUCGAAGAUGAUUAGAUACCAUCGUAGUCUUAACCAUAAACUAUGCCGAUUCAGGAUUGGCGGUCGUUUGUUCUCGACUCCGUCAGCACUGUAUGAGAAAUCAAAAUCUUUGGGUUCCGGGGGGAGUAUGGUCGCAAGGCUGAAACUUAAAGAAAUUGACGGAAGGGCACCACCAGGAG